This 200-nucleotide ribosomal RNA is filed under the name uncultured bacterium. Its description in RNAcentral is "partial 16S ribosomal RNA". It matches the Rfam family "Bacterial small subunit ribosomal RNA", at positions 524 to 723 of the family's 1533-position model. The record is from RNAcentral.
UACGGAGGGUCCAAGCGUUAUCCGGAUUUAUUGGGUUUAAAGGGUCCGCAGGCGGAAGAAUAAGUCAGUGGUGAAAUCCUAUCGCUUAACGAUAGAACUGCCAUUGAUACUGUUUUUCUUGAGUAUACUUGAAGUGGGCGGAAUGUGUCAUGUAGCGGUGAAAUGCAUAGAUAUGACACAGAACACCGAUUGCGAAGGCA